RNAcentral lists this long non-coding RNA (452 nucleotides) under Chrysemys picta bellii (western painted turtle). RNAcentral's name for it is "lncRNA (ENSCPBG00000014520.1)". The record is from RNAcentral. Lineage: Eukaryota; Metazoa; Chordata; Testudines; Emydidae.
AGUAUUGGAAUCAAUGUCUGUCGCCUGUUCAUUCUGCCUUGUUUCAUCCGUCUCAGUUAUGUCACCAGGGUGAACCACCAAGUCUAUCCAGUUAUUUGAACCCCUGUUUAUCUGCAUGCCAAAAUGGUUUGGAUGAAUAUGGUUGUAAUGGAACAAAAGAUCAUCUGUAGCUACCUUUCAGGAAGAAAAAAAAGCAGAAUUUUGGUGAAAAUCCUUCCAGUGCCUUCCACAUCUCAGCAUAAUAAGCCAUUCGGUACAGUUGAUGUAUGCAGUGUUGUAGCACUGUCAGCUCUAGGAUAUUAGAGAGACGAGGUGGGUGAAGUAAUAUCUUUUACUGGACCAACUUCUGUUGGUGAGAAAGACAAUCUUUUGAGCUUAUCCGGAGCUCUUUUCAGGUCUGGGAAAUGUACUCAGAGUGUCACAGCUAAAUACAAAGUUUAGCAUAAGUAGUU